RNAcentral lists this transfer RNA (67 nucleotides) under Amblycirrhitus pinos (redspotted hawkfish). RNAcentral describes it as "tRNA-Cys". It matches the Rfam family "tRNA". From Rfam's summary of the family: Transfer RNA (tRNA) molecules are approximately 80 nucleotides in length. Lineage: Eukaryota; Metazoa; Chordata; Actinopteri; Centrarchiformes; Cirrhitidae. The record is from RNAcentral.
AGCCUCGUGGUGAAAUUCAUAUUAGAUUGCAAAUCUUAAGGAGCAGGUUAGUCGCCUGCCGGGGCUU